This 564-nucleotide ribosomal RNA is filed under the name Paraburkholderia sp. RNAcentral's name for it is "bacterial SSU rRNA". It matches the Rfam family "Bacterial small subunit ribosomal RNA", at positions 434 to 992 of the family's 1533-position model. The record is from RNAcentral. Lineage: Bacteria; Pseudomonadati; Pseudomonadota; Betaproteobacteria; Burkholderiales; Burkholderiaceae.
UUUGUCCGGAAAGAAAACCUCCGCCCUAAUAUGGUGGGGGGAUGACGGUACCGGAAGAAUAAGCACCGGCUAACUACGUGCCAGCAGCCGCGGUAAUACGUAGGGUGCAAGCGUUAAUCGGAAUUACUGGGCGUAAAGCGUGCGCAGGCGGUCCGCUAAGACAGAUGUGAAAUCCCCGGGCUUAACCUGGGAACUGCAUUUGUGACUGGCGGGCUAGAGUAUGGCAGAGGGGGGUAGAAUUCCACGUGUAGCAGUGAAAUGCGUAGAGAUGUGGAGGAAUACCGAUGGCGAAGGCAGCCCCCUGGGCCAAUACUGACGCUCAUGCACGAAAGCGUGGGGAGCAAACAGGAUUAGAUACCCUGGUAGUCCACGCCCUAAACGAUGUCAACUAGUUGUCGGGUCUUCAUUGACUUGGUAACGUAGCUAACGCGUGAAGUUGACCGCCUGGGGAGUACGGUCGCAAGAUUAAAACUCAAAGGAAUUGACGGGGACCCGCACAAGCGGUGGAUGAUGUGGAUUAAUUCGAUGCAACGCGAAAAACCUUACCUACCCUUGACAUGUAUG